GCAACAGCUCAAAUUUGAAAUCUGGCUCUCGGGCCCGAGUUGUAAUUUGUAGAGGAUGCUUAGGGUGUGGUUCCGGUCUAAGUUCCUUGGAACAGGACGUCAUAGAGGGUGAGAAUCCCGUAUGUGACUGGUAACCUUCGCCCGUGUUAAGCUCCUUCGACGAGUCGAGUUGUUUGGGAAUGCAGCUCUAAAUGGGUGGUAAAUUUCAUCUAAAGCUAAAUACUGGCCAGAGACCGAUAGCGCACAAGUAGAGUGAUCGAAAGAUGAAAAGCACUUUGGAAAGAGAGUUAAAUAGUACGUGAAAUUGUUGAAAGGGAAGCGCUUGCAACCAGACUUGCAUGUGGUUGAUCAUCCGGUGUUCUCACCGGUGCACUCGAUCACGUUCAGGCCAGCAUCAGUUCUGGUGGUUGGAUAAAGGCCUAGGGAAUGUAGCUUCCUUCGGGGAGUGUUAUAGCCCUGGGUGCAAUGCAGCCUACCGGGACUGAGGACCGCGCUUCGGCUAGGAUGCUGGCGUAAUGGUUGUAAGCGACCCGUCUUGAAACACGGACCAAGGAGUCUAACAUCUAUGCGAGUGUUUGGGUGUCAAACCCAUACGCGUAAUGAAAGUGAACGGAGGUGAGAGCCCUUAAGGGUGCAUCAUCGACCGAUCCUGAUGUCUUCGGAUGGAUUUGAGUAAGAGCAUAGCUGUUGGGACCCGAAAGAUGGUGAACUAUGCGUGAUUAGGGUGAAGCCAGAGGAAACUCUGGUGGAGGCUCGUAGGGGUUCUGACGUGCAAAUCGAUCUCAAAAAUUGCGUAUAGGGGCGAAAGACUAAUCGAACCAUCUAAAAUCCAACUACUGGAUGGAAUAUAGAGUAUAGUCUGGCGUAGCCAGGCAACAUUACCACUGUGCGAGUAUGCCGCGAGGCUACCUGCAGCGGGGCCUAGGGCCCUGUUCACAGACUAAACGGUAGUGGCCCC
This 958-nucleotide ribosomal RNA is filed under the name Marthamyces johnstonii. RNAcentral's name for it is "partial 28S ribosomal RNA". It matches the Rfam family "Eukaryotic large subunit ribosomal RNA", at positions 101 to 1398 of the family's 3401-position model. Lineage: Eukaryota; Fungi; Ascomycota; Leotiomycetes; Marthamycetales; Marthamycetaceae. The record is from RNAcentral.